AAAGAUAAAAAGAACACAAAAGCGGAUAAAAAAAUAAAAGAAUAUCUUGAUUGCUAUUCUAAGCUUUCUGCUUCCCUCGAGUCUGAACGAGAAAAUAUCGAAAAAGAAGGUUCAACGACUGGAAAAAUGAAUGCAAACGAAGCGUCAAUAAUAGAGAAGGUUGAAAAUGUAGAAUUUAUAAGAAAGAAGAUGAAUGAUGAGAUCAUACAACGCAAUAUGAAUAAGUGAAAAGAUGACUGUUUAAGGAAAUUCAGAAGUGUACCGCAAGAUUUAAUUGUAGGAUAUGUCAAGCUAAUAGAAUUGGAACCAGAGUACAGUAUACAUCUAAAAUGAUGCCAUCCUAAACACCUUGCUUAAAGUUUGAUGAAUUAAUCCUUUAUUUAUACACG
Camponotus floridanus (Florida carpenter ant) is the source of this 389-nucleotide long non-coding RNA. RefSeq lists it as uncharacterized. NCBI's taxonomy places the organism in Eukaryota, Metazoa, Arthropoda, Insecta, Hymenoptera, Formicidae. The transcript has 4 exons. The record is from RefSeq and is a predicted model, not a curated record.